GAAGCUGCACCUCCACACAAUGUGAUAUUAUCAAUUUAUCACUCUGCUUUCGUGAAGGGAGUUCAAACCAACUUCAAGAUUGAACCAUCUUUUGGAGUUGAAGCCUCGCAGCUUUAUCCUGAUGUCAAGUACACUACAGUUGAUGAGUACCUCAAUCAGUUUGUGUAACCCUUCUCUGUUUCCAGCUGCAGCUUGCAGGAUCUUGGACUGUUGGUAAAUAAAUAAUUGGCUUGUUGCCAUCUUUGGUUUUAUAUGUAAAAAUUAUGGUUGUUGGCCUUACUUUCUUCUGGUUGUCCAUGGAAUUUGUUAGACCAUAUUUUGUUUGCUAUGUCAGUGAUCAAAUGAAGUAGGCCAUGUACUUGAUUUGAGAGUAGUAGUUAUAAAGCCAUCAUGAUCAGGUGGGUGCGUGGGUUGGGCUUCUAUUAGGGUGCGUGUGUUGGGCUUCAGGGGCUUGUGAUAUGGGUUCGACAGCCCCUAACGGGCAGUCAUUAUAAAAAUAAUUAUAGAGUUACAAAUCUAUGUAAAAAGCAAAAAUUAAAAGUAAUUUAUCAAUAAAAAUAAUUAAAAUUAAUAAAAAGUAGGUAUGAUAUUUCAGAAAUCAAAUUAAAGAUAGCAUUCUAAAGAGUCGGAUAAUCCUCCAACUAAACUAAAGAUCUAGUACAUUUGAGAGCAAAUUUAAUUAAAGAAAAGGAUAAGGAAAAACAAUAGAAUAAUAAUAUUAAAAAUUGCAAAUCUUGGUCUUUUUUUUUUACGAUGAUGUUGAAUUCUUAUAAAUUUAAUCUUAUCUAUAGAAUUAUUUAGUUACUGUAUGUCAAAAUUUCCUAUAAAGAUGAAGAAAAAUUAUAUUAGGAGAAGAUCCAAAUCCGUUUAACUGAUGCAUCAUCGACAACAUGAGUACAACAUUUUUGAAUAAACAAAAGAAACUCGUUUUAUGUGCGAACCAGUUCCAAAAUAAAGAGCAGACUAUUGGAAGGAGACAAAUACUACAAGAAGAACAAAACAUUCUACAGUUCCUACAUGAGCCCGCAACAAUUCAUUAUUAACUCGACAUUCAUUACACUUUUUCUUUAAUUUGACAAAGAAACCAAAAAUAAGAUAAAAUUGACUAAGAAAUAAAAAAAUGACCGAAAUCUUUUUGAAGUUUUGCCAGUUCAGCCAUGCACGCUUAUCUUUAUUCACUUGUUUCCUUUCUUUCCUUUCUUUGCUGAAGCCUUCACAGAUCCUUUACCUUUCUGAGCCUUGCCAAUUUUCCCCUUCUUCAAACCACCUGGCCUUGCUGGAUCCACGUGUCCUUGCAUCCUUUUUCAUUCGUGGAUCAACAAGAAUCUUCCCCUUUCCAGCUCUCUCUUGAACUCCUUUCUUUGGGACCAGUAUUCUUUUGUCGGCCUUUUGGGUAUAGUUGUCUUGUAUAAUUGUUCAAUUUGAUUCCUCUUCGAACGAUCAGAGAUGUCCGCUUAGUCUGAUAUGACAUUUGCCUUCUUGCGAACCUUCUCAAGAUUUCGCAUGGCAACCCGUAUCUUUCGAGCUUUGGUCUUAGCCACCUUCUUGGCAGUAUGGGUGGGCGAUUCGGUUUUGGGAUAAACUUUUGGUUUCGUAUCGGUUUAGAUUAAAAAAUAAUAUAAAAAAAUAUUUAGAUUUUAAGAGAAAAAAUCCGAACCGAGACUCACCUAUCGAUUUCGGCUCGGUUUCAGUUCAGUUUUGAUUCUCCUAAUAGUUUUAUUUUGCCUUAUUGACUUCCGGUCAAUGACACUUUUGAAAAAUUUACCAAAAAAAAAAAAAAUGGCCAUAACAAAAUUUCUAUAUGCAAAUAUUUCCUAAACAUUAGGCUAUACUAAAUUUUUUUAAAAGGUAGGGACCCAAACGAUAUUAUCCCUCUACUUCAUCUUCAACCUUCGUCAUUAGGGAUGGCAAAAUCCGAGUUCGGGUCCGGGUUUAGCCAUUUGGGAUCCGGACCCGGAUGAAUAUUUUUUGUACCAGACCCGAAAAUAAACCCGCAUUUUUCCACUUCGAGUCCGGUACGGGUUCAACCCGAAAAAAUUCGGGUUCCCUGACUGCGGGUUUCCAACUCGGAUUAAUGAAUCCAAUUGAAAAAAAAAAACUAAAUUCAACAAAAAAAAUCAAAUAGAAAUACAUAUCCAGGAUUUCAGCAAAUCAAAGAAAAAUUAUUUCAUCUGGAAACUAAUUAACAAAAACAACAAUUUUGUUUGGCUGCCCAGAAUCAGCAACCCAAUGUGGCGGCUCGUUCAAAACAUUAGUGUUUUCAACAGAUUUUGGGGUAGGAAAAGCCAAACCUAUCUAGAACAAUGAAUUUGUAUUUUUGGGGGAGAUGAGGUACCUCACUGGUUUGUUGUGUGCGGUGCAGUGUAUCUUAAAUUUGGGGGAUGUGAGAAGGGGAGAGGGAGUGGUAAUAAUGGUGAAAGGUCAAAACCAAUAGAGAUGUCCUUCAAAAUGAGCUUCACACCUGUAAAACAGUGAAAUAAAGGUUAGAGGUGAAGCUGGGGUAUCCCGGUGUUCACACUCCGACGCUCAAGUUAGCAAACUCAAGCUUUUAUGACAAAGAGAACUGGCUAGCCCUCUGUAAAUUAGGGUUUAAGGUUCAAGGAAACCUAUUUUUUGGAAUGUGAGUGUUAAUGGUGAGUGAGAGACCUCUUGGAGAAUGAAACCUAUGCGCCUUUAUAUAUGGAGUACCUCAGCUGCCACGUGACGUACCCUUUUUGGCUAACGUCAUUUUUCAUUUUUAUGAUUUUUGGGUCGUUAUGUUCAUGUUCGCGGGGUAUCUCAUCUUUUAGAAACGUGGCGCGCGCUGGAGAGUGGUCCAGGGUACCUCUGCAGUAGCUGUCGGGUAGGCGGCUGAGGACCACUGUCCUUGGGACAGUGUCUUUCACUUUUGGUAAAGGUGACAGGCGGUUGUCCUCCCUUUUAACACGACAUUUUUUAUUCCUAAUUAUGACAAAAUCGAAUAAUAUCUUUUAAGAGAUGGAGACGUUUCUCAUGGUGGAUAUUUUCGGAAGAUUCUCUUGCAUCUGAUCAGCCGGGUUCCUCCAGUUACGCAGGGUACCUCAAUUUAUGUGGGGUACCUCUAAUUUUAUGGGGUACCACUAUUUGCGCAGGGUACCUUGAAUCAUGCCAAGUACCUUAGAUUAUGCGGAGUACCUCUAAUUGUGCGGGAUACCUCUAUUGCGCUAGGUACCUUGAAUCAUGCCGGGUACCUCAGAUUGUGCGGGGUAUCUCUAUUUGCGCAGGGUACCUUGAAUCAUGCUGGGCACCUCAGAUUGUGUGGGGUACCUUGAGUCAUGCGAGGUACCUCUAAUCAGGCCAGGUACCCUCUAAUUGUGCUGAGUACCUAUAAUCAUGCAGGGUACCUCUAAUCAAGCCGGGUACCUUUAAUCAUGCGGGGUACCUCUAAUCAGGCCGGGUACCUUAGAUUGUGCGGGGUACCUCUAUUUGCGCAGGGUACCUUGAAUCAUGCAGGGUAUCUCAGAUUGUGCGGGGUACCUCAAAUUGUGUGGGGUACUUCUAAUCGUGCGGGGUACCUCUAAUCAUGUCGGGUACCUCGGAUUGCACUGAAGUUAUUCCAUUCGUUGACACGUGGCGUUAUGCUAUCUUUCUUAUUUUUCCCCCAAACAACAUCCCUCUAGUUUCUUUUGGCAAGAAGUUUUGGAGGCAAAAGAAACUUACAUAAAAAGUAGAAGCGACACGUGGCGAUAUGAUGUUUAGCUCGAUGGGUAACUAAAUAGAGGGCGCCUUUAGGGGUACCCUGAGAACCCAAAAAGGGAAGAUGGGCUCCAUUUCCUCGGAAAUGGCUACCACUUUGGACAUGUUGGAAAGGAUAGAGCUAAUUGAUCAAAAAAAUUUCAUCUAUUUCUAGGGAAGAACACCAAAUACGGGUAGAGGGUAUCGUUAGGGUACCCCACCAUUACCCAUAGUUUGUUUUCUAGUGACUGCCAUGUAUAAAUCGCUCUGGUGAAGGCUUCAAUACAUUCUUUGGGCAUUUAAGAAGCAAUUAUUUGAUUAUCUCGGGAUCCACCUUAUUUAAGGGUAUAUUUCCUUCAUGUACUUUGAAGACAAAAAUAAAAUCACAGGGCUUUCUUCCUUGUAACUUCAGAGGUACCCUCGACAGAAGAAUAUAGUCAACAAUGCUUUUAAGCGUAUCAUGAUCGAGGAAUGGAGUGCUGAUCUGGGGUUGGUGGUGCCAAGAGUGGAGAAGAUGGUAGAUGAACCGGCUAUCUUGAAGGCGAUUAACGAUAGCGGGGCUCUCAACACAUCUUGGUCUGAAGGGGUAAUGCAAAUAAGUUUACGUUGAUUGGAUAUUCAGAAGAAGUAAUACGCCAUUAAAAGCAACAAGUUUUCCAAAAAGCCAACAAAGACAGACACCACCACACCACCCCGCGCUGGAUGAAAAACGAUGAAAGCAUGAUAAGUGACAUCGAGUAAGCCACGUUCUCUCUCUCUCUCUCACUCGCACUCGCACUCGCACUCGCACUCGCACUCGCACACACUGUUACUAAAAUAACCAAAAAUAAGAUUCCCAUCAAAAUAUUUUCAAGUAUCGUUCUUGAAAGUGGCGGCGGCUGAUGAUGAUGAACACAGCCGCGAUUGCGAUUGGCGAAGGCGGCGUUCAGCCCGUAUCACAGCUAGUUAUCGGUCGUGGCAGAAAAGAUAAUGAAACGACGGCUGAUGAUGAUAAUGAUGAUGUUGAACAGCCGCAAAUAUGGGUAAGUGAUGCGACGAUGAUUUGAUGAAGAUGAAGAUGAGCUGAAGAUGGAAUAAGAGUGGAAAUGUUUGUGCGGCUGGGAAAGUGUAAUGAGCUGCUAGGGCACCAUUUGGGUUUUUUUGCUUUCCUAUUUAUAUUAAAAAUAAUUUUUAAAAAUUAAUAUAUAUCCGGGUUCGGGUUUUGGAUGUACGGGUUUACCUAGACCCGGACACAUGCGGAUUCAGCAGCACCGACCACCCACAGACUUGGAUUCGAUUGCAAAGUUGGGACUUAGGAUUUGGGUUUGUGGCUGCUGAAACAGAAAGUGAGAGAGUAGAAAGUAGAGACUAAGAGUGGUGCAAACAUGUGUAAUUUUGUGUGUGUGUCUAUAUAUAUAUAUAUAAUGUGAAAUUACAAAAAUGCCAUUAUAUCAGUUCAAUUCGAAUUUUGUAACUUGUGAUCCAAAAACUGAACCAAACCGAACCAUUUGGUUUGGUUUUUAUAUAUUCAGGUUUUUAAUUUAAAAAAACUAAAUUGAAAUUGAAAGAACUAAACCGAACCGAAUUUUUUUUUUUUUUUUGUUUCGGUUCAAUUAUGCCCAUCCCUACUUAGUAGGCUGGGCAUUAAUUUCUUUGAAUUGUGCUUUCAUUGCAGUAAUCUCCUCCUUGGUAAUAGGUUUAAUUGCUUGUUGAUGCCUCAUUUCCUCUAGUAACAACUAGUCUAACAAGCCAUCAUCGUCAAACAUGUACCUAUUAUAAGCAUCAUCCAGAAUUUGCUCUCUUUGCUUUUUGCUUAGUGUCUUCUUUGCACAAGCUAUUAUCUCAGCUUUUGUAUGAAUAUCUUUAUCUUUUGAUUCACCAGAGGAUGAAUCAUCACCGGAAUAGAGUGGUGAAGGCCCCAUAGAUUAGUGUGAUCAAGUUCUAGUGUAGUUUUGGUUUUGAUUUCAGUAUUAGGAAAAUGAAGCCUAUGAAAUUUACUAAGCUAACAUGCUUCACAAAAGUGCUUUAAUACUUGAAGAGGAUAAAUGAGGAUAAAUAAAUUUAAAUAUACAUUAGAUUUUGAGGGUUGGGAUGUCAAAACUUUUGGUGAAAAAGAGUUAGUACAAGCAUUUUUAUUGAGAUUGAAAAUAUUUCUUAAGAUGAUCAAUACUAGUUACAAAAUUGGAAUGAAAAAAAAAGGCAACAUAGACAAAGGUUUGUUUAUUUGAUUGUAAGAUAGAAAAGACUUGUAUUUAAGUUGUGGAAAGGAUUUGAGCAGCAAUUUAUACAACCUUUUCUCAGCAAAACCUUCCUCUUCAAUGAAUCCUUCACAAAACAAAUAGAUCCAAGAAAUUCGACAAAUAAAUUGUUGUCAAUGGUAAGUUUUGAAAUGCUCAAUAGAUUCUUUGUAAUGGAUGGAACAAACAGUACAUCCUUAAGUAAAAUAUGUCUUAUAUUAUCUUUUUUUAAUUCUUUUUUAAAAAAUAAGUGAAUAAUAGUAUGUCAAUCUCAAAUAUCAAUAUGUACAAUUUUUAUUUGUGUAAGAAUUUGCAUCCAAUAAUCAUCAAUACAUAAUUGUCUUUUAAUUGAAUGGUUCUCACCUCCCUUCCAAACUUUGAAAAGGUAAAAUAAGAUCAAUCAUGUCAGUGGCAAUUAAUAUAAAGAUUACUUUUCUUAUUUGUAGUAACGUCCUCUGAUUAUUUAGCUGAUUUUCAAGCUACACAUUUAUUCCAUUUGAUGUUGAUAUUAGUAAAAUUAAUGUAAUAUUUAAAAAGGAAAAAAAUCCGUCGAGCUAAAAGCCGAGUAUAAAAUUGAACCGGACCCAAACCAGAAACGCACGCCAACAACAUGCUUGCGUUAGUCGGCCCAUGCCCAUAAACCCACCAAGCCCGAUCCAAAUAGAAAAAUGAAUUGGACACCCGAGAUAGCAGAAACAGAUAAGUAACGGUCGUGUUAUCCCCAAUCUCAUAUCUUCAACGGUAUCCAGCCAACAUCUCAAAGUGUUCAAUUUUUUUUUAAGCCAAAAAAAAAUUCAAAAUUUUCAAGCGGAAUCUGGGAAGAUGGCGAUGAAAAGCAAGAUUCUGGUUAUCGGCGGAACCGGAUACAUCGGUAAGUACUUAAGGUGCGUUUGAAAUUGAGGUUGAACAACUAUAACUUUAAAACUACAGCACUAAAAUAUUUGGUAAACACUAACUGUUGUAACUUAAAAGCUAUUUAAUAUAAUUUUUCACUUGUAUAAUAAAAAAUUUAUUAUCUUUAAUAAUUUUGUCAAAAUUAUUAUUUAAAAUAUAUACAGUAAGAGAGAUUGUAACAUUUUCAAUCUUUGGUUUGAUAUUCUGGAAGAAAACGGUUUGCCGUUUACGGAGAAAAUGGCUAACCGUUUAAUUUCAGAGAGCAUGUUUUCUAUUCUAGAGAAAACGACUAACCGUUUGGAGAAAAUGGCUAACCGUUUGGAGAAAACGGCUAACCGUUUUGAGAAAACGGCUAACCGUUUAAUUCCAGAGAGCAUGUUUUCUGUUCUAAAGAAAAUAACUAACCGUUUGGAUAAAACAACCAACCAUUAAUUACAGAGAGUAACUUAUUUGACAUUCUGGAAUAAAACGGCUCACCGUUAUUGAGAAAAUGGCUAACCGUUUAUUUCCAGAGAGCGUGUUUUUGCGUCAACUGGAAAAACGGUUAGCAAGCUUGGAAAUUUCAAUUGUCAAUCGAUGCAAACUCAAACCAAAAGAGUGUUUUUUAAAGAAGUACCAUUUUUAAUGGUUGUAUUCUUUCAAAUAAACAUCUUCUUUAUUAAAGAUAAACAAACUAUUAUAUCAUAAUCAGAUUUUGCAGGUUUCAUAUAUGUUCUGGAAAUACAAUCUUAUUUUCUAGAGAUUGUAUUCAGGAUUUGAUAUAUCUUAGGGGUAAUUUGCCAUUAAAACUCUAUAGCAAACCAAGAUUGGUGAGGGCAAAUAAAACCUUAAAGAAAAGUGUGCAAACACGUCUCAAAUCCUAAGAAAUUUUCUUUGUUCUUUGCCUCCAUAUUCUUAAAAUUUGAAAAUUCACCCAUCAAUCUUUAAGGUUUUAUUUUGAUGCAAAUAGAGGCUGAGAAGAGUUUGACGCCAUUUCUUAAUCCUAGUGUCCAUCUCGAUCGUUUUGAUGGAACAAAUUUCACUCGUUGGAAGGGAAAAUUGUUCUUUCUUCUUACUGUUCUUAAAGUGACAUAUGUUCUUGAUCCGAAAUUGGAACCAUUUCCAGAACCAAGAGAAGAUGAUACCGAAGUUGUUAAGGCUGCAAGGAAACGUCGUGAAGAUGAUGAAUUGAUGUGCCGGGGUCACAUACUCAAUACGCGUUCUGACAGGUUAUAUGAUCUCUACAAUUUUAUGACUUCUCCGGUGGAAAUUUGGAAUGCUCUUAAGUACAAAUACAAAACGGAGAAAGAAGGUACUGACAAAUUCCUUGUCUCUAAAUAUUUUGAAUUUAUUAUGAUAGACACACAAUCCAUUCUUGAUCAAAUACAUGAGUUAUAAAUUAUUGUUGCUAAGCUUCGAGAGUUAAAAGUUGAAAUUUUUGAAUCAUUUCAAGUUGGGACUAUUAUUGCUAAAUUGCCUCAAAGUUGGAAUGAUUAUAGAAAGAAACUCCUUCAUAGUAAAGAGAACAUAACUUUAGAAGAAUUGCAAAAACACUUGAUAAUUGAAGAAGAGACUAGGUCUCGCGAAUCCAAGGAUAAGCAUGAUUCUACUAAAGUUAAUGUUCUUGAAGCUAGUAAAUUCUCAAAGAAUUUUAAAGUCAAGAAUGACAAGAAAUUUAAGAAGUCCAGCACACAAAAGUUUUCUGGAAAUUGUUUCUUUUGUGGUAAGAAAGGUCAUCGCCAAAGUGAUUGCAGAUUCAAGAAAAAAAAAAGGAAGAAGUGGAUUCCUAUAAAGCUAAUGUUAUUGAAAACAAAUCUGAAAAGAUUUGUGCUAUGGUUUCUGAAAUGCAAAUUGGCAUGAUUAUCGAAACCAAUAUGGCUGAAACUAAGUCCUAUGAUUGGUGGCUCGAUUCGGGUACAACAAUUCAUGUUUGUAAUGAUAAGAAAUUUUUAUUAUCAUACAAAGAAGAAACGGAAGGACAAAUGGUUCUCAUGGGGAACAAUAAUGCAGCCAUAGUAGCAGGGAAAUGAGUAGUUGAGAUCAACUUCACUUCUAGAAAGAAAGUCACAUUGUAUAAUGUCUUUCAUGUACCUUUCGUUAGGAAGAAUCUUAUUUCUGCUAGUUGUAUGUGUAAGCAUGGGCUUAAGAUUGUGCUUGAGGGUAAUACUUGUAUUAUCUCAAAGAAUGAAUUAUUUGUUGGGAAAUGGUAUUCUUGUGAUGGAAUGUACAAACUCAACAUUAAUAAUAAUAAUAUCAACUUAGCUUAUAUUGUUGAGUCUUGUGAUGUUUGGCAUGCUAAAUUAGCACAUUUGAAUUUUAGAUCUUUGAAAUACAUGUCUGAGCAUGGUUUGAUUAAUUGCAAUGAUGUUAAAGGUCAUAAGUGUGAAAUCUGCAUCCAAGCUAAAUUAACUAAGAAACAUUUUCUUAAAGCCGAACGAAAUACUCAAAUAUUGGACUUAAUAUAUACCGAUAUUUGUGAGUAUAAUGGCGUUUUAACAAGAGGAGGUAAGAAGUACUUUAUCACUUUUAUUGAUGAUUGUUCUAGAUACACUUAUGUGUAUUUACUUAGAACAAAAAAUGAAGCUUUUGAUAAAUUUAAAAUUUUCAAAGCUGAAGUUGAGAACUAAAAAGAUAAGAAAAUCAAAAUGGUUCGUAGUGAUAGAGGUGGUGAAUAUUUCUCAAUUGAAUUUAAUAAUUAUUGUGAAGAAUUUGGAAUUAUUCACCAAAGAUCAGCUCCAUUUACUCCUCAACAAAGUGGUUUGGCUAAAAGAAAGAAUAAGAUCUUCACAGAUAUGAUAAAUUCCAUGAUCCUUAAUGCAAAACUACCAAAUAAUUUGUGGGGGGAAGCAUUACUCACUGCAUGUCAUAUUCAUAACAGAAUUACAUAUUUGAAAACACAUAUAUCUCUUUAUGAAAUUUGGAAAGGAAGAAAACCAAACUUGAUGUAUUUAAGGGUCUAGGGUUGUUUAGCUUUUUAUAAAAUACAUGAUCCUAAAUCAUCAAAGUUAUGUGCUAGAUGUAUAAAGAGUGUUUUCGUAGGAUAUGCUGAAAAUUCCAAGGCUUAUAGGUUGUUAGAUUUAGAUUAUAAUGUGAUUGUGGAAUCUAGAGAUGUUGAAUUUAUUGAGAAUAAAUUUCAACAUGAUUCUAAUAUUGAAUUAGAAUCAAUUAUUGAUCAACCAUGUGUUAAUACUCCUGUUACCUCCACUAACAAUAAUAAAAGGAAAGACUCUAUGACAUCUUUCGAACCAAUGAGGAGUCAAGGUGAAAAGAAAGAAAAGAGUUUAGCUCCGAAUUUUAUUUCAUCACAAGCACUACUCUUCUUGGUUGAAGGGGAUAGAAAGAAUGUACUUAACAAAGUACCAUUGUUGUUAAAUAUUGAAAAAGAUCCAAAGACAUUUAGCGAAGCUAUGUCUUCUAGAGACGCUUCUUUUUGGAGAGAGGCGGUAAAUGAUGAAAUUGAUUCGAUUAUUUCGAAUCAAACAUGGGUCUUGGUUGAUCUUCCUCCAGGAUCUAAACCAAUUAGCAGCAAAUGGGUAUUUAGAAGAAAGUACAAUAGUGAUGGUUCUUUGCAAACUUUUUAGGCUAGAUUAGUAGCCAAAGGGUUUAAGCAAAGAAAUGGUAUUGGUUAUUUCGAUACAUAUGCUUCGGUAGCAAGGUUAACUUCUAUAAGAGUGCUAUUUGCAAUUGCUUCAUUGAAUAAUUUGUAUGUGCAACUAAUGGAUGUUAAAACCGCUUUUCUUAAUGGUGAUCUUGAUGAAGAAAUCUAUAUGGAACAACCUGAGGGAUUUGUUUUACCAGGAAAUGAGAAAAAAGGUAUGCAAGUUAGUCAAAUCACUUUAUGGUUUAAAGCAAGCACCAAAACAAUGGCAUGAGAAGUUUGAUUCGGUAAUUUUAUCUCAUGGUUUUAAGCAUAAUAAUGCUGAUAAAUGUAUAUAUUUUAAAGUUACGAAUGAUUUUGGUGUGAUUAUAUGCUUGUAUGUUGAUGACUUGCUUAUCUUUGGAACAAAUAUGCAAGGAGUAGAUGAUACAAAGAAGUAUUUAACUUCACAAUUUAAGAUAAAAGAUCUUGGUGAAGUAGAUACUAUCUUAGGUGUCAAAGUGAAGAAACAUAGUGGGGGUUACUCGUUGUGUCAAUCUCAUUAUAUAGAGAAAGUGCUUCUUAAAUUCAAUUAUUUGAAAUUUAAAGAAGCUAAUACCCCAUAUGAUUCUAGUAUUAAAUUAUUAGAGAAUUCAGGCCGAGUAGUAGCACAACUAGAAUAUGCUAGUGCUAUUGGUAGCUUGAUGUAUGCUAUGCAUUGUACGAGGCCUGAUAUAGCAUUUGCAGUUUGCAAAAUGUCAAGAUUCACGAGUAACCCUAGUGUUGAACACUGGAAAUCAAUUGGUAGAAUACUUGGUUAUCUUAAAAGGACCAUUAAUUUGGGUUUGUUUUAUAAUGAUUAUCUUGAAGUACUGGAAGGAUAUUCAGAUGCUAGUUGGGUAACCAAUACAAGAGAUAAUAAAUCCACUUCUGGUUGGAUUUUUACAAUUGCUGGAGGAGCAGUUUCUUGGGCUUCAAAGAAACAAAUGUACAUAACUCAUUCAACAAUGGAAAGUGAGUUUAUAGCACUCGCAGUUGCAAGCAAGGAAGUAGAAUGGCUGAGAAAUUUGUUGUUUGAUAUAAUGUUAUGGCCACAACCGAUGCCAUCUAUUUCUUUGUACUGCGAUAGUGAAGCUACAUUGUCUAGAGCUUAUAAUAAAGUGUAUAAUGGAAAGUCUAGACAUAUUAGCUUGAGACAUGAAUAUGUGAAACAAUUAAUAGCAGAUGGUGUUAUUAAUAUUGUUUAUGUUAGGACUAAUAAGAACCUAGCGGAUCCUUUAACAAAAGGUCUUACAAGAGACUUAGUUAAGGAUACAUCUUUUGGAAUGGGAUUGAAACCUUUAAAUAAUAAAGUCACCAACGACGAUAACCCAACUAUGUAGUAGUUGCACCGCUACUCCAUAGUUAAAUGGAUAAUAACAAGUUGUUGUUAUGUGACUGGUUUGGCACCGAGUAAUAAAUAAUCACAUUCGAGAUAUUCGGUGCAAAUAGCUACGAGGUUGAGGUUGAGUAUUUACUCUUAAUGAAGUUCAAGUCUUAUACUAGCUAAAGACAUGAUUUGAAACUUCACCUAAGUGAACAUAAGAAAUGGUGCCGUUUCUAACAAGAUCAUGGUUUAAUCUAGUAAAUGUUUAUGAAUCCAAGAUAGAGCACAAGGCCGGAAUAGUGCUAAAUAUUGGAACACAACUUUGAAAAUCUGGGAUAGCUUAUAUGUGAUGUAUCUCCGGUAUUUACUUAAGAGACAAAGUUUAAUGCUUAGCACACUAUUGUUUUGUAAAUGCUUUGAAAUACACUCACUAAUUAAAGGUUAAAAUCGAAAGAUAUCGUUUUGUAUGUAUAAGUUUAUCAUUAAUAAAUAUGAAAAAUAUUACAAUCUAGUGGGGGAUUGUAAGAGAGAUUGUAACAUUUUCAAUCUUUGGUUUGAUAUUCUGGAAGAAAACGGUUUGCCGUUUAUGGAGAAAACGGCUAACUGUUUAAUUCCAAAUAGCAUGUUUUCUGUUCUAGAGAAAACGACUAACUAUUUGGAGAAAAUGGCUAACUGUUUAAUUUUAGAGAGCAUGUUUUCUGUUCUAGAGAAAACGGCUAACCGUUUGGAUAAAACGGCCAACCGUUAAUUACAGAGAGUAACUUAUUUGACAUUCUGGAAUAAAACGGCUCACCGUUAUUGAGAAAACGGCUAACCAUUUAUUUCCAGAGAGCGUGUUUUUGCGUCAACUGGAAAAACGGUUAGCAAGCUUGGAAAUUUCAAUUGUCAAUCGAUGCAAACUCAAACCAAAAGAGUGUUUUUUUAAAGAAGUACCAUUUCUAAUAGUUGUAUUCUUUCAAAUAAACAUCUUCUUUAUUAAAGAUAGACAAACAAUUAGAUCAUAAUCAGAUUUUGCAGGUUUCAUAUAUGUUUUGGAAAUACAAUCUUAUUUGCUAGAGAUUGUAUUCAGGAUUUGAUAUAUCUUGGGGGUAAUUUGCCAUUAAAACUCUAUAGCAAACCAAGAUUGGUGAGGGCAAAUAAAACCUUAAAGGAAAGUGUGCAAACACGUCUCAAAUCCUAAGAAUUGUUUUUUGUUCUUUGUCUCAAUAUUCUUAAAAUUCGAAAAUUCACCCAUCAUAUACAUACUACAUAUUAUUAAUUUUUGUUUUAUAACUAUAGUUUUUUUUUUACCGCAACUGUAGUUUAAAAACUACAGCACCUCAAUCCCAAAUAAGACCUUAGUAGAAGUGAGCGCGAAAGCCGAUCACCCAACAUUCGCGCUUGUGAGAGACUCCACUCUCUCCACUCCUUCCAAAUCCAAAAUCCUCGACCGUUUCAAAAAUCUCAGCUCGACCGUUUCAAAAAUCUCAGCGUCAAUUUAGUUCAUGUGCGCCACUCUUUUAGCUUUCCAAUUUUCCCGCCAAUUUUCUUUUAUUGUGAUUAAUUAAUUAAUUAAUGUAAAGAUUUUAUAUUAUAAUUUUGUUUGCAGGGAGAUCUAUACAGCCAUGAGAGCUUGGUGAGUACAAUAAAGCAAGUGGAUGUGGUGAUAUCAGCGAUAGGUCGCACUCAAUUAGCUGAUCAACUCAACAUUAUCGCAGCAAAUUGCGAUAACUAAGUACUUGGGAUUUUAAAGAAGCUGGAAAUGUUAAGGUUCUGAUUAACUUAAGUAAAUGCGUUAACUAAUUACUUGGGAUUUUAAAUUCAAAUGUGUGAAUUGUUCUAAAAAAUUAUUUAUGUUUAUUAGUCAGAGAUUCUUUCCUUCAGAAUUUGGAAAUGAUGUUGAUCGCGUGCAUGUCGUUGAGCCAGCAAGAACAUCAUUUGCCACCAAGGCUAAAAUCCGCCGAGCUGUUGAGGAUGAAGGAAUUCCAUACACCUACGUAGCUACGUAGCUUCCAAUUUCUUCGCUGGUUUGUAUCUUUCCAGUUUCUCACAGCCUGAAGCCACAGCUCCUCCAAGGGAUAAAGUGGUCAUCGUAGGUGAUGGAAAUGCAAAAGGCAAAGCGCUUCUGGAUACAUUUACUCUGUACACGCAAUGUGUGGUUACUGUUUGGAGAUAAAAAAGGAGAUUAAUUAAUAAAGAAAAUGAAAUUAUUGAGGGAUUUGCUGAAGAGUUGCGUGCACUCCUCAUUUUUCUCCACCACUCAUCUUACUUGCAAAAUGCAAUGACCAAACUAUCCUCGCCAAAGCCUAGACAUUUACUUGUGUUCAAAGGCCAUUUAAGGGAGACAAGUACAAAAAGUUAUAAAGGAUAGUAAGCAGAAGAAGAAAAUGGAAAGGGGAGGGGGGGGGGGGGAGAAUAAAAAAGGGGAGUGGGGCGUUAUCUAGGGAGGAUUUUUAUUUUUAUUUUUUUUCCUCUCUUCUCCAUGGCAUCUCUUUCUCUCUUUCUCCCACUAAGAAAUUCUUUCUUUUACACUCUAUUUUACUUUUAUGCAAAUUACGCAAAAAACUUUUGGUUUUAAGGCAAUGUUUAUUAAGCCACGUGAAUUUGAAAAAGCAUGAAUAAGGGGAUGAUUUUAACACAUUAAUUCACCAACAUUAAUUGGAAAAGAUCAGUUGCCACUUCGAAUCAGAGUAAUUUCUUCGGCAAUAGCCAAAUAUUGAUAUUUGAUCUUGACACUGUAGUUAAAUCAAUGUAACUGAUUUUGUCAUUUGAUCCCCAGUAAUUUUUAACAAGGAAGACGAUAUUGGGAUUAAUUCUAUCAAAGCGGUGGAUGAUCCAAGAACACUGAACAAAAUACUUUACAUCAGACCCCGUUGCAAUAUCUACUCAUUUAAUGAUCUUGUGUCUCUGUGGGAGGAAAAGAUUGGCAAAGCCCUUGACAGGGUCUAUGUUACAGAGGAACAACUUCUGAAAAACAUUCAAGGUUAGUUAGAACUAUCACUUUAUCAAGUGGAUAGAUGUAACUGACCGAUAAUGGAAAUUUUUUUCCUUCUCCAAAAUGCGAUAGAAUCUAAUCGGUUUCAACAAUCUCAAGAACACCUAUUCAUGGUUGUGUUGUUUGAAAUCUGUAUGUAUCAGUUUUCUUUCUAGAUCUCAGAUUGCUCGCAAGGAUGUCAAGUUUUGAUGAUGCUUGCCUGUUUUCCUGUGUUUACAGAAGCUUCAUAUCCACUCAAUAUGAUAUUACCUAUUGGGCACUCUGCCUAUGUCCUGGGAGAUCAGACCAACUUCGAAAUUGAACCUUCAUUUGGAGUAGAGGCAACAGAGCUUUAUCCAGAUGUCAACUACACUACUGUGGAUGAGUACCUCAACCAGUUCAUAUAAACCUUCUGAGAUGAGCAGCAGGAUCCUAACAAAAAAUUGGGUGGUUUCCAUCCCUGAUUCUAUGGUAUAAAGAUAGCGGCUUUCCCUGCUUUUGCCAGUUCAGUGAAGUUUGUUAGAUGAUGUUAUUUAUACUAUACUAGCAAAGAUCAAGUUGCCUUUCUUGUCAAGAAGCCAAGCUCUGGCAUUGGUUUAUGCUAGUUUUUCACACUAAUAUUGGUAUUCACUAAUUUUUUUUUUUCAUUUCACACCGCCAUCAUCAGUGGAGAUGCCCUCUUGUAUGGUACUAACUUUGAUUUUCCUUAUGCUUCACUUGCUGUCUCUGCAGAUUCGUAAAAGAUCAUUCAUGGAUAAGAUCAGAACAUCAAUUUGAUACAGUAUGCAUUGAGAACUCCCACAUGAUUCUUGUUCUAGUUCUGGUUAGACAUGAAACAUGUUACAGUUCCAUAACUUGAGACAUUGUCAUUCAACAAUUAUCAUCACAUUAAAACAGUGGCCAAUCCCUAACAGCUACCUUUUGACUCUUCACAUUUUUUUUCUGCAUUUUAUGCGCAUUAAUUAUCUAGACCUAGACUUAUUACACUUCUCAGCCUGGCCCGUUGGACAGUGAGUGAUGAAACAAAUUUUUUUUCAUGUUUAUUACUUUUUUUGCAUUCAAAAUGAUAAAACUGCAGAGGUUGUUGCAUGCACGUCAUUUGUUAGUAGGGGUAUCAAUUUAUGAACGUAUGAAGUAUCUCUUCUGCACCGGCAUCCUCCUUAACUGUCAGUAGGAUCACAAUAAGUCGACCAACCAUCUACCGUAUGGAUUAUCUAUAAAUUGAAAUUGGUGUGUAUUAUGGAUCUGUCACUCUGCUGCUUCUGUUUUCUUUUCUAUUUUUACCAAGAAAGAAACAUUGUUAAAACUGAAUGGUUGUUAUCUCGUCUUGUUGUAAUGUUGUGUAUGCUUUCUAGAAAAUAAUGAAGUGCCAAAUAUGAAAAUACUAGUGGCUACCUUACCAUCCUUAAUAAGUUGUCUGAUUGUCACCGUCAACAAUCACUCUCAGCAACUCAUAAUCCAUUUAAGCAUAUUAUAAAAUAAUCAAUUUUGUAUUUGCACCAACUUUUAGUUUUAAAUGACAAUUUCGUUGAUCCCCACACUUCUGUACUAAUCAAAUCCACUGAAACUGGACUUUUUUUUCUUUUUUUUUAUAAUUACAUCGAUUGCAUUGGCUAUUGCAGGGAAAAGACUGCCUCUACAGGGAACUAAACUUUCAGAAUUGAUCUUAUGAGGGUUUGAAUAUGCUCUCGUACUAGGUCAAUGGCCUAUUGGUUCGAGACCAUUCACAAAGAAAGAAAUGAGUUUUGCUUGUAUAAAUGAAAGAAAUCCAAAUGAUAACUAAUGUAUAGUGGUACAUGAGAAAAAUAAUUUCAGCCCCUGUGUAAAGUCAAAAAGAGAAAAUAUUAAAAGAAAGGAUAAUGUCAUUGAGUUCGGUGAAGUGAAAGAAAAUAAAAAACAUGGGAUUUAGUCAAACUUAGUGUCCCAAUCAGCAGAAAAAGGUUUUAGAAACUCACCUCAAGUUAAGCCAACUAUUAGGAGCUUUAUUUAAUCAUGGCUUUCUAAUGUAUAGUACUCCAAUACUAAACGAGGGCUACCUCUACGCUUGCAAAUGUAAAUGAAAUUGAGUUCGUGACGCACAAUGAAGUGAGCAAAAUGAGUUGAGAUCUGAGAAUAUAUUAAAGAAAAUAUGAAUCAAUGAAUUUUGGUUAAAAAAAACAAAUGCUGGUUCUUCAAGACCUGCGUGUAUUGUGUAAGUUUUGUUAGGAGAAGGAAAGCAUUUUGGUCUAAAACGCACUAAAUCGGAUUCAUUUGCUUGAUAUCUAAUAAGGGUGAAUUAACCACUCGCCCACAGCAAUUCAAGUACCCAAAAAAGUUUUGUGGGGGCUAAAUUUCUUCUUUAAUUAUAAAAAAUAAUUGAACGGAGGAUAAAAAUUUAGGCCAUGUAUAACAAUAACUAAUAUAAACUAGUCCUAAUAAUAGUAUAAUUGUAAAUAUCAGUUGUAGUCUCAUACAAUAUAAGUUUAUAGAUUAUAAUAUCGGCAUAAAAAGAAAAAUGAUAUCUGACGGUCAAUCAAUAAAAGGAUAAAAACUUUGGAGUAACAUACCACAAAGUCAAUGUAGCUGGACAGUGAAUAUAAUAUGUAAACAAAUUUAAAUGGGAUAAUACCAUACGGUACAUACAUAACAUUUUAAAACUGAAUUAAAAAAAUAAAAUUAAAACUGAAUUAGAAUUCGUAUGUGUAUCCAGCUACCUUGCCACAGUUGUAAGGUACCCUAACUUUGCAACAAUUUCAUCCUUCGUGCAUUCGGUCACAAAGUCCAAAUUAGGCACGUUUAAGAAUCGAACUGAAAAACUAAAAAAAAGAAUCCGGCGAUAUUUGCGAACCGGAAACGAGCCAGCGUUAUGCUUAUGUCAUUUCAGAGAUAUCAACAGUCGUGCUUUCAGUCCUUAAACCUCAAGGGCAUUUUCGUCCUUUCACUCAAGCGUGAAACUGCAUGUAAGAACUGCUUCGCUUACACGCUCCAUGCACAUUUAAAGGCACCACUGUCGGAUAAAAAAUAUCCAUCCAUUUGAUCAUUUCAAAACAAAACGAAAAAAAAAAUCUCAGUAAUUGAACUGAACGAGUCUCAGAAAUGGCAUCGAAAAGUAAGAUUCUAUUCAUCGGCGGGACAGGGUAUAUCGGUAAAUUCACUGUCGAAGCGAGCGUAAAAGCCGGCCACCCGACGUUCGUGCUCGUGAGAGAAUCCACAAUCUCUGGUCCUUCCAAAUCUCAACUCCUCGAUCACUUCAAAAACCUCGGCGUCAAUCUCGUCAUAGUGCGUUUUCAUUUUUCUCUUUUCUUAAUUUUUUAUUCCGAUCAUUUUUACACGUCGAAGUGUAGCAUCUACUACUUAAUAUACAUAAUGAUAUUAUUAUUUUUUAAUUUUUUUGGGUUGCUGUUAUUAUUAUGCAGGGAGAUGUGUUGAAUCACGAGAGUUUGGUGAAGGCGAUUAAACAAGUGGACGUGGUGAUAUCAACGGUCGGUCACACUUUAUUAGCUGAUCAGGUCAAGAUUAUUGCUGCCAUUAAAGAAGCCGGUAACGUUAAGGUAUAACAUAAUUAAUAUAAAUAUCUUGAAUUCCGAUCAGGAUUGUGCACUCGCGAACACGUGGUGAUUUAUUCUUGGUGUGGAGCUCGCUGUAGAGUAGAGCUCCCAGUUCAGCUAAUAAACACCCCGUCACAUGCGCAAUUGCGCCUCAAAAUAAUUUAAUUGAUUAAUUAAGGAUAAAUACCAAUGGCAUGAAAGCAAUUAAAAUUAGUUGAUGUUUAUAAAUUAUUUAUUACUCAGAGAUUCUUACCAUCGGAAUUUGGAAAUGAUGUUGAUCGAGUUGAAGGCGCCGUAGAGCCAACAAAAUCGACGUAUGACGUAAAGGCGAAAAUCCGCCGAGCCGUUGAGGCAGAAGGCAUUCCGUACACUUACGUAGAAUCUUAUUGUUUUGAUGGCUAUUUCCUCCCCAAUUUGUUGCAGCCUGAGGCCACUGCCCCCCCUAGGGAUAAGGUUGUCAUCUUAGGCGAUGGAAAUCCAAAAGGUAAUAUAAUUUAAUUAAGCUCUGUUUGUUUGGUAUGUAUUUCGGUGUUAAUGUUAUUGUCUGUUGUACAAUGGAUGGUCUUGCUUGGUACUGUUGUUGGAGAGCUGCAGUGUUUUGAUAAACACCUCUAUCCUUAGCUUUCAAGUUAAGUUGAUUUUAUACAACACUUGUUUAAUUCAAAACUUGUAAUAUUCUUACUACUUUGAUAAAAAAUAUUACGAUUAAAGCAUUAAUGGCACCAUAAUACGAAAUGAACCUUAAGUGGUCAUUAUAGAUUUUAAGAUAGAGUUUUAAGUGAUUACCAGAUACUUUAGCUGCUGAACCGCCACAUCAUGGUUGCCACACAACAAUUUCAAACAGAACCUAAAUAACUUCAUUGCAAAACAGUUAAAUGAAUCUAACUUAGUUUCGUCGUUUGAUUUUCAGCUGUUUUUAACAAGGAAGAUGAUAUUGGAACCUACACUAUCAAAGCGGUUGAUGAUCCGAGAACCUUGAACAAAAACUUUUACAUUCAGCCUCCCGGUAAUAUUUACUCAUUCAAUGAUCUUGUGUCUCUGUGGGAGAGAAAGAUUGGUAAAACCCUCGAAAAGGAGUAUGUUUCAGAGGAGCAGCUCCUAAAGAAUAUUCAAGGUUGGUUAAAACUCUCUUUUUUAAAUGUAUUAAAGAGAGCCGUAUAUUCUCUGCCGUAAAUGUCAUUGAUCCUGUCUUCUCCAAAAUGUUGCAGAAGCUGCACCUCCACACAAAGUGAUAUUAUCAAUUUAUCACUCUGCUUUCGUGAAGGGAGUUCAAACCAACUUCAAGAUUGAACCAUCUUUUGGAGUUGAAGCCUCGCAGCUUUAUCCUGAUGUCAAGUACACUACAGUUGAUGAGUACCUCAAUCAGUUUGUGUAACCCUUCGCUGUUUCCAGCUGCAGCUUGCAGGAUCUUGGACUGUUGGUAAAUAAAUAAUUGGCUUGUUGCCAUCUUUGGUUUUAUAUGUAAAAAUUAUGGUUGUUGGCCUUACUUUCUUCUGGUUGUCCAUGGAAUUUGUUAGACCAUAUUAUGUUUGCUAUGUCAGUGAUCAAAUGAAGUAGACCAUGUACUUGAUUUGAGAGUAGUAGUUAUAAAGCCAUCAUGAUCAGGUGGGUGCGUGGGUUGGGCUUCUAUUAGGGUGCGUGUGUUGGGGGGCUUCAGGGGCUUGUGAUAUGGGUUCGACAGCCCCUAACGGGCAGUCAUUAUAAAAAUGAUUAUAG
Molecule: long non-coding RNA, 19921 nt
Filed under: Citrus maxima (pomelo)
Lineage: Eukaryota; Viridiplantae; Streptophyta; Magnoliopsida; Sapindales; Rutaceae
Description: long non-coding RNA (CMAX_LNC003344)
Source: RNAcentral